Molecule: ribosomal RNA, 253 nt
Filed under: uncultured bacterium
Lineage: Bacteria
Description: partial 16S ribosomal RNA
Rfam family: Bacterial small subunit ribosomal RNA
Source: RNAcentral
UACGGGGGGGGCAAGCGUUGUUCGGAAUUACUGGGCGUAAAGGGCUCGUAGGUGGCCAACUCAGUCGGACGUGAAAUCCCUCGGCUUAACCGGGGAACUGCGUCCGAUACUGGAUGGCUUGAGAUCGGGAGAGGGAUGCGGAAUUCCAGGUGUAGCGGUGAAAUGCGUAGAUAUCUGGAGGAACACCGGUGGCGAAGGCGGCAUCCUGGACCGACACUGACACUGAGGAGCGAAAGCCGGGGGAGCAAACGGG